This is a long non-coding RNA of Penaeus monodon (black tiger shrimp), 505 nucleotides long. RefSeq lists it as uncharacterized. The record is from RefSeq and is a predicted model, not a curated record. NCBI's taxonomy places the organism in Eukaryota, Metazoa, Arthropoda, Malacostraca, Decapoda, Penaeidae. The transcript has 3 exons.
UCUGCCGCAGGUACAGCAGCUCACCAGGGGGACAAGCAAAGCCCCCACUCAGGUGGGAGACGCGGUGGACACAGCCUGUAGUACUUGACACUCCGGAAAAUCAAUAGCAACAUGGCCAGGAGUGAACUAGGGGCCUCUCGUUCGCUCGCUGUGGCAUGAUCUAUGUGACAAUGAGUGAAUUUUUGUACACCGAAUUCGUGAGGUAAUAAAUGUGCUACACGUAAACAAGAGAAGCUUAAAAGGAACACUUAAUUCCCCAUGCCAGACGAGACACUAGAUUUCCCCCAAAGUGAAGUCAGUUUGUUUAUACGGACUGGUUAAACCAUCUUGAACUAUAUUUGUAGUAAAGAUGAAGUCCAUCUUCUAUACCUUCUUCAUACCUGCGUUUUUAUCAGGAUCGCGUGGUGGAGCAGCAGAUUAUGUUGGAGGAUUUACAUCGAAAACUUUCUCGGCCCAAGAGGAGCUGUUAAUUCCAUCCAGGGGCCGCCCAGCUGCCCGGGACUUC